CAAAUUAAAGCUUAAAUAAAGCAUUUUAUUUACAUUAAAAAGAUUAUCAUAAUAGAUAUUAUUUGA
RNAcentral lists this transfer RNA (66 nucleotides) under Hylurgus micklitzi. RNAcentral describes it as "tRNA-Val". Lineage: Eukaryota; Metazoa; Arthropoda; Insecta; Coleoptera; Curculionidae. The record is from RNAcentral.